This 253-nucleotide ribosomal RNA is filed under the name uncultured bacterium. RNAcentral describes it as "partial 16S ribosomal RNA". It matches the Rfam family "Bacterial small subunit ribosomal RNA", at positions 524 to 776 of the family's 1533-position model. The record is from RNAcentral.
UACAGAGGGUGCAAGCGUUAAUCGGAAUUACUGGGCGUAAAGCGCGCGUAGGCGGAUAAAUAAGUUGGGUGUGAAAUCCCUGGGCUUAACCUAGGAAUUGCAUUCAAAACUGUUUGUCUAGAGUACAGGAGAGGAGGGCAGAAUUUCCGGUGUAGCGGUGAAAUGCGUAGAUAUCGGAAGGAAUACCAGUGGCGAAGGCGGCCCUCUGGACUGUGACUGACGCUGAGGUGCGAAAGCGUGGGGAGCAAACGGG